This 253-nucleotide ribosomal RNA is filed under the name uncultured bacterium. RNAcentral describes it as "partial 16S ribosomal RNA". It matches the Rfam family "Bacterial small subunit ribosomal RNA", at positions 524 to 776 of the family's 1533-position model. The record is from RNAcentral.
UACAUGGGGUGCAAACGUUGCUCGGAAUUAUUGGGCGUAAAGCGCGCGUAGGCGGUUACUUAAGUCGGAUGUGAAAGCCCUCGGCUUAACUGAGGAAGUGCACCCGAAACUGAGUAGCUAGAGUACGAAAGAGGGUCGCGGAAUUCCCGGUGUAGAGGUGAAAUUCGUAGAUAUCGGGAGGAACACCGGUGGCGAAGGCGGCUCACUGGUCCAUUACUGACGCUGAGGUGCGAAAGCGUGGGGAGCAAACAGG